ACCGGGAGAAGACUAACUAGGAUUCCCUUAGUAACGGCGAGUGAAGAGGGAAGAGCCCAGCACCGAAGCCUGCGGCAGUUUUGCUGUUAGGCAAUGUGGUGUGUGGGUCGGCUAGCGGGACCGUCGCUCCACUCGAAGUCCAGCAAUGAGUAUGGUUAUUACUGGAAUUGGCCCAUAGAGGGUGAGAGGCCCGUACGGGUGGAGUCGCAGACAUGUGAGACGGUUCACCAGGUCGACCUCAGAGUCGGGUUGUUUGAGAUUGCAGCCCUAAGUGGGUGGUAAACUCCAUCCAAGGCUAAAUACUAACACGAGUCCGAUAGCGAACAAGUACCGUGAGGGAAAGUUGAAAAGUACUCUGAAGAGAGAGUAAACAGUACGUGAAGCCGCAUGCAGGUAAACGGGUGGCGUCAAGCUGCGAGCCCGGAGAAUUCAGCUGGCCAGAUUGUAGUGUACGCGCCUGUGGCGUUAAAGGGCCAGAGUAAGAUGUAGUGAUCUACUUCUCUUAUGGAGGUGGGACUAUAGCUGUAGCCUCGGUUGCAGUUAUGGUUACGUGUGCCGAUCGGAUGUCGGAGCGUGUCACUCAUCUGUUGCGCCGUCUGGUCAGUGCACUUUCUCUGUGGUGAACACCACGACCGGUGGUAUUGCCCGUCUACUAUGGUCACGUCGUGUCUUUUCUGAUAACCUUGCUUUCUUACGGUGGGGCUGGUAAUGCGCCGCUCUUCAGAUACCCUCGGGCGGACCCUGGAUUAAAAAUGGAAAAAAAGGGGUUAUCCCAUUCAAUGCCAAGGUGGACAAAAAUCCCCCCUUGGUUUCAGGGGGAUUUCCAUCACCCUUAACCUAAGUUCCCCCCUUGGAAACCAAGGGGCCAAUUUUUUCCUCUUUGGGGGUGCGCCCACUUUC
This 900-nucleotide ribosomal RNA is filed under the name Raillietina saudiae. RNAcentral's name for it is "partial large subunit ribosomal RNA". It matches the Rfam family "Eukaryotic large subunit ribosomal RNA", at positions 49 to 634 of the family's 3401-position model. Lineage: Eukaryota; Metazoa; Platyhelminthes; Cestoda; Cyclophyllidea; Davaineidae. The record is from RNAcentral.